GAGUUUGAUCCUGGCUCAGAACGAACGCUGGCGGCGUGCUUAACACAUGCAAGUCGAACGUGAUCCGGAGCUUGCUCCGGUGAAAGUGGCGCACGGGUGAGUAUCGCGUGGAUAACCUGCCCUGGUAUCUGGGAUAACAUCUCGAAAGGGGUGCUAAUACCGGAUAAGCCCACGGACUCCUCGGAGUCUGCGGGAAAAGGUGGCCUCUAUUUAUAAGCUUCCGUAUCAUGAUGGGUCCGCGUACCAUUAGCUAGUUGGUAGGGUAAUGGCCUACCAAGGCGACGAUGGUUAGCUGGUCUGAGAGGAUGAUCAGCCACACUGGAACUGACACACGGUCCAGACUCCUACGGGAGGCAGCAGUGAGGAAUUUUGCGCAAUGGGGGCAACCCUGACGCAGCAACGCCGCGUGAGUGAUGAAGGCCUUUGGGUCGUAAAACUCUGUCAGCAGGAAAGAAGUUACAUGUGGUUAAUACCCAUGUGUAUUGACGGUACCUGCAAAGGAAGCACCGGCUAACUCCGUGCCAGCAGCCGCGGUAAUAC
This 540-nucleotide ribosomal RNA is filed under the name uncultured Geobacteraceae bacterium. RNAcentral describes it as "bacterial SSU rRNA". It matches the Rfam family "Bacterial small subunit ribosomal RNA", at positions 9 to 526 of the family's 1533-position model. The record is from RNAcentral. Lineage: Bacteria; Pseudomonadati; Thermodesulfobacteriota; Desulfuromonadia; Geobacterales; Geobacteraceae.